Molecule: long non-coding RNA, 181 nt
Organism: Gymnodraco acuticeps
Lineage: Eukaryota; Metazoa; Chordata; Actinopteri; Perciformes; Bathydraconidae
Exons: 3
Source: RefSeq, a predicted model, not a curated record
UGGAUCCACUUGGAGAAGGGAAAGGCAAAACGAAGGUGUGCCUGCAGUCUACAAGAGCCUUUAUGAGGAUGAAAGGCUGCAAGGUGUCAAGAUGGACAUGCAGCACCCUCCCCCAUAAUCGCCAACAAGACAGCACAUCCUGUGGUGUCCUGGCCUUAAAAUUUGAAACCUCACAGAAGGC